AACCGUCAUCCCUGCCGACUCUCUGUGAAGGGGGGGAGGAGCUGCUCAACGACUCUCCGACGUGUUGCACAAGGGCCGUCUGCCGCCCCGCCUUCCCCUUUUCUCCCGUCGCGUCCUCCUUCCGCCUCUUUCCUGAACCCUGCCGUCAGCCAGAACACAAGAGAGAAGUAGCGGUGUCGCGGCACAUCUGCAACGUGCAGUGCGCAUCACUAAUACACAUCCAUCAAGCAGUGUCCAUAAUGGAGUGGAAGAGCAAGAUGUCAAGCACACUAGAGAACUGCCUGGUGCAGGGCGGCCGCUUCCGCGUCGGCCGCCGCAUCGGCGGCGGCUCCUUCGGCGAGAUCUUCCUGGGAGUGGACACCCAAACCGGUGAAGCGGUGGCCAUUAAGGUGGAGCGCUCAAAGGCGGUCCAUCCGCAGCUGUUUUCAGAAUCGCGGUACUACACCCUUCUGAGCCAAGGCCGUGGCGCGGCUUACAUGCCAACCAUCUUCGGAUACUCCUCCGAGUGCGAGUUCAACGUGAUGGCGAUGGAGCUGAUGGGCUUCUCACUGGAAGACCUGCAUGAAAAGUGCGGCAACCGCUUUUCGCUCAAGACGACGCUGAUGCUGGCGGACCAGAUUCUGUGGCUCAUCGAGCUCGUGCACUCUCACAGCAUUCUGCACCGCGACAUCAAGCCCGACAACUUCAUCAUGGGGCGUGGGAAAAAGGCGCACCACGUGCACAUCAUCGACUUUGGGCUGGCGAAGAAGUAUCGUGACUCGCAGACAAAUAUGCACAUCCCAUACAAGGAAGGCAAGAGCCUGACAGGCACGGCCCGCUACUGUAGUAUCAACACACACCUCGGCGCUGAGCAGAGUCGCCGUGACGACAUGGAGGGCAUCGCCUACCUCCUCAUCUACUUCCUUCGGGGAUCGCUGCCAUGGCAGGGCUUGAAGACGGCAACGAAGGAGCAGAAGUACGGCUUAAUCGCGCACGUGAAGAUGAGCACCUCUGUCGAGUCGCUCUGCAAAGGGCUUCCCAUCGAGUUCGCAUCAUUCCUGAAUUACUCGCGUGCGCUGCGCUUCGAGGACCGCCCUGACUACGGCUAUCUCCGUUCUAUGUUUCGCCGACUCUUCGAGCGAGAGGGCUACCAGGAAGACUAUGUCUAUGAUUGGACGGUGCGCAGCAUGUAUGAGACGCUCACGGCGCGACAGCGCAAGAAUGCAGCGAAGCGCGGAAAGAAACAGAAGUAGUGUGCAUGUGCCUGCGUGUAUGUCUGUGUUCGUUAAUGGAUAGGCUUGUUAGUGAAUAGGCGAAGUGACCCAGGGAGAGUGAUAUGCCGACGUUAUCGAUAUCUUCUUUUGUAGCGAAAAAGAGGGAGGUAUCUUAUAUGGGUGUACACGCGUGUGUUGUUCUACGGAAUCAUCAGUGUAGAUCAUAUACGCCACCACCUCCGUUCCCUCUCUGCUCUCUCUCGCUCAUGCAUAG
Molecule: unclassified non-coding RNA, 1467 nt
Filed under: Leishmania donovani
Lineage: Eukaryota; Euglenozoa; Kinetoplastea; Trypanosomatida; Trypanosomatidae
Description: gene:LdHU3.35.1260(CDS-product:casein_kinase_I_pu tative)
Source: RNAcentral